Molecule: unclassified non-coding RNA, 253 nt
Filed under: Ascomycota sp.
Lineage: Eukaryota; Fungi; Ascomycota
Description: partial contains small subunit ribosomal RNA, internal transcribed spacer 1, and 5.8S ribosomal RNA
Rfam family: Eukaryotic small subunit ribosomal RNA (bases 1-47)
Source: RNAcentral
AAAGUCGUAACAAGGUCUCCGUAGGUGAACCUGCGGAGGGAUCAUUAUCAGUUAACAACUCACCCGAAGUCCUCCGGGACUGAGGGUGCACGAGUAAACAAACCCUUUGUCGUCCGACCAUGUUGCCUCGGGGGAGACCCUGCCUUCGGGCGGGUGGCACCCCGGUGGACCAAACCAAACUCUUGCAUAACAAUGUAGUCUGAGUGAUUUAAACAAUAAAUCAAAACUUUCAACAACGGAUCUCUUGGUUCUG